AUUCCCCGUUACCCGUUGCAACCAUGGUAAGCCUCAAAGAUUAACCCAUGCAUGUCUAAGUAUAAGCAACUAUACCGGGAAACUGCGAAUGGCUCCUUAAAUCGGUUAUUGUUUAUUUGAUAGUACCUUGAUACAUGGAUAACCGUGGUAAUUCUAGAGUUAAUACAUGUUAAAAACCUCGGCUUCGGAGAGGGGUGUAUUUAUUAGAUAAAAAACGCAUUGCCCUUCUGGGGCUCUCUUGGUGAAUCAGUAAUAACUUAUACGAAUCGCCAUGGCCCUUGCGCCCGGCGGAUGGUUCAUUCAAAUUUCUGCCCCUAUCAAACCUUUCGAUGUAGAUGCACAAGCAUAUGACUAC
This 355-nucleotide ribosomal RNA is filed under the name uncultured fungus. RNAcentral describes it as "bacterial SSU rRNA". It matches the Rfam family "Eukaryotic small subunit ribosomal RNA", at positions 34 to 356 of the family's 1831-position model. The record is from RNAcentral. Lineage: Eukaryota; Fungi.